RNAcentral lists this ribosomal RNA (55 nucleotides) under Calonectria reteaudii. RNAcentral's name for it is "partial 28S ribosomal RNA". The record is from RNAcentral. Lineage: Eukaryota; Fungi; Ascomycota; Sordariomycetes; Hypocreales; Nectriaceae.
CUCGAAUCAGGUAGGACUACCCGCUGAACUUAAGCAUAUCAUAGGCCGGAGAGAA